UGGGGAAUCUUCCGCAAUGGACGAAAGUCUGACGGAGCAACGCCGCGUGUAUGAAGAAGGCCUUCGGGUUGUAAAGUACUGUUGUUAGGGAAGAACUUUGUUAGUGUAAAUAAUGCUAACAAUUGACGGUACCUAACGAGGAAGCCCCGGCUAACUACGUGCCAGCAGCCGCGGUAAUACGUAGGGGGCAAGCGUUGUCCGGAAUCAUUGGGCGUAAAGGGCGCGUAGGCGGGCUUACAAGUCUGAUGUGAAAGUGCGGGGCUUAACUCCGUAAAGCAUUGGAAACUGUAAGUCUUGAGGACAGGAGAGGAAAGUGGAAUUCCACGUGUAGCGGUGAAAUGCGUAGAGAUGUGGAGGAACACCAGUGGCGAAGGCGACUUUCUGGACUGUAACUGACGCUGAGGCGCGAAAGCGUGGGGAGCGAACAGG
Molecule: ribosomal RNA, 429 nt
Filed under: uncultured prokaryote
Also listed under: 1 other name
Description: bacterial SSU rRNA
Rfam family: Bacterial small subunit ribosomal RNA
Source: RNAcentral